Molecule: unclassified non-coding RNA, 350 nt
Filed under: plant metagenome
Description: partial contains 5.8S ribosomal RNA, internal transcribed spacer 2, and large subunit ribosomal RNA
Rfam family: 5.8S ribosomal RNA (bases 1-105)
Source: RNAcentral
GAAAUGCGAUAAGUAAUGUGAAUUGCAGAAUUCAGUGAAUCAUCGAAUCUUUGAACGCACCUUGCGCUCCUUGGUAUUCCGAGGAGCAUGCCCGUUUGAGUGUCAUGGAAUUCUCAACUCUAUUUGCUUUUGUGAAUAGAGCUUGGAUUUGGAGGUUUAUUGCUGGUACUUGUGAUCGGCUCCUCUUGAAUGCAUUAGCUCGAACCUUUGCGGAUCAGCUAUCGGUGUGAUAAUUGUCUACGCCGUUGCAGUGAAGCAUAUCAAUGGGCUCGGCUUCCAAUCGUCCUUUACUGGACAAUGACUUUGACCUUUGACCUCAAAUCAGGUAGGAUUACCCGCUGAACUUAAGC